Molecule: non-coding RNA, 276 nt
Organism: Streptomyces sp. NRRL F-6491
Lineage: Bacteria; Bacillati; Actinomycetota; Actinomycetes; Kitasatosporales; Streptomycetaceae
Source: Rfam
CUGCCCAGGGUAAGUCGGGACCUAAGGCGAGGCCGACAGGCGUAGUCGAUGGACAACCGGUUGAUAUUCCGGUACCCGCUUUGAAACGCCCAAUAUCGAGCCCAUUAAUGCUAAGGCCGUGAAGCCGCCCCGGAGCCUUCGGGCAAAGGGGAGUGGUGGAGCCGCCGGCCCAAGGUGGUAGUAGGUAAGCGAUGGGGUGACGCAGGAAGGUAGUCCAGCCCGGGCGGUGGUAGUCCCGGGGUAAGGGUGUAGGACGUCACGUAGGCAAAUCCGCGU